This 423-nucleotide unclassified non-coding RNA is filed under the name Hevea brasiliensis (rubber tree). Lineage: Eukaryota; Viridiplantae; Streptophyta; Magnoliopsida; Malpighiales; Euphorbiaceae. The record is from RNAcentral.
GAUCAAUUGUGAUGCAACCCCAUGUAAACUUAACAAGCUCCUCUUAAUCACAAUAGUUUCUAAAUCACUAUAUAUCAAUAAUACAUUCCAUAAUCUCAUUUUUCUCCUUUUAGUUUCCUUUCUUCAGGUUAAGAAAUCAAAGCCACUCUGUGCAUAGUUAGGAGAUGGUUGGCAGGCAGCCAAUUUAUACUUACACCAGCCGAUGAAAACCCAUACUUCUUCUUGAUUUGAUCAACUGCACCUGCCUUAUUAUCUGUUGCAUUCCAAUCAGGUUCCUCUACCUUGGCCGAGUUUUUCUCCGUCUUGACCUUCAUCUGUCUCAAUUUUCCUUUAAAAGAAUUAAAUGUACUUGCCAACUUCUGCUUAUUUAGAGAAGCCAACAUGCUCUGUUCUUUUGGUUUUUCAACAGGAUCUUCAAGUUCG